GAUAGGAUCUAAUAUGUAUGCAUAAGCCCAAAUGUUCAAGGCCCACUUAGAGGGAGUUAGUUACAAUAGAUAAAGAAAGUGGAGAGGUUAUAUAAAGGAAUGAGAGGAUAGAGUUAGACAUCUUUGAUCACAAUUCAGUUAGGAACCUUAUGGUUUAGGCAGAGAGAGAAACAUCUCUUCUCUGAGGAGCUUCUGCUCUAGGGUUACAGGAUUAUCUUCUGUAAUACAUCUAUUUUCAAUUCAAUAAUACAAUUUAUUUCUUUUCUGUGAAUUCGAGUUUCUAUCAAUUGGUCCGACCUACCGGAUCAACUCUCACCACCACGGGUAACUUGUAGAUGCAUUAGAGAUUCAGAUGGAAACUGUGACAACCGCAUUGCAAAGUAUUGCCUCUCAGAUGCAGCAACUCGCUCAACAGAUGCUUCAACAGAGUGUGAUUCUGACAGAAUUGAGCAAAAAAGCUUGGUUCCAAGGAGGUGACUCAGGAGGGUGAAACCUCUGAUGGUGAUUCAGUUCAGAGCAAAAUUGAAGAAACAGAGGAGAAGAUGAAAUUGGACUUCGAUCUGAACUCGUCGACAAAGGAGAAAGAAGAAGUUUCAUUGUUAACUGGGGCACUGUUUUCACGAUGGAUAAACUUUCAAUCAUCGUUAGAAAACAUUCAUACAGAACUGAGUAGGGAGGAAAGAAAAGUUAAACAAGAGGCUCAUAUCAAUCCAAAACCACCGCUGAAUCUGUCAUGUCCGCCUUCGCCAGAAAAACCUCCGGACUCCGGUCAACCCGUGACUAUAGUUCCACGGCGAGCACCGCCGCCGAGACCACCAGAUCUACAUGGUUUGGUUGACGGGGAAGUCUAUGCGAAAUCGAGCGUCAAGAAGAGAGGAAAGGUACAAAGGAGUCUUGGUGGACCGCCGUUAAAGUUGUCUGAACCACCGUACUCUGGUUGCAAUUCUGAUCACGAGUGUGGCUUUGUUGCUGAAGGCGAGAAGGUUCUAGAGAAGGCAGGGGCAAAAAAUGAAAUUGGUGAAUUGUGUAUCACUUUACACCUAAUGGGUCACAUGCACAAAUAUCUGCCAUCCAUUUUGCACAGUAAUAACUUAGUACAUGUGUCUUCAUCAGGUCAACACACAAUCUCUCUUCUAUCUCAUGUGUCACUUAAUGAUAAUGAACAUUCCUUACCUGCUAAGUGUCAUGCUGACACAAUGCAAUGUGAAUUGGGUCAAUGCUAUAACAAAAAGGGUCAGACCCAAGUUAAUUUUAGUUUGGUUUUUAAAACGCUUACAAUUACUAUGUGGGCUGGGAUGGAGCUAUUUGACCCGGUUCUAGUAAAUAUGGUCCUUUUGGUAAAAGACAAAAAAGCCUUAGAUAGACUAUCUCAAUAUCGAUUGACACUGGGCCUGGUCCAAGGUAGAGAGGUGACUGCAAUUGUCCAAAAAGUGCUUUCUCCCUUCCCCGCUCUGAAUUCAUAUUUGGUUUUUCCUUUCCAUGCGUCAUCCUGUCUUCAUAUAUUUUCUUCAACUUCACUUGGAUGCCUCUACAUAAAGGAAAACGUUGGGGUGUCUUUGAAUGACCUUUCAAUUAUAAUAGAGUUAUGGGGUGAGCUUUAUGAAGUAGCAGCAACCAGGUCAAAUGAACUUAUGUUAAACUGCAAGAUUGUCAUGCUAACAAAUCUGAAUAGGAAAACUGAAGUUACAUCCCUGAAGUCUGCAUUUCAAAUAGAGGUUGUAGCAAUGGAGGAUGUAGUAAAUAGUGUUGUCAUGCUGCUGAGAAUUGCAGAAGAGUCAGCUUUUGACCUUUUGUUUAGAUUGGAUGUAUUAAUUGAGACUCUGGGAACUACUUUGACUGAGAUGUAUAUGAAACAUGGGCUAGUUUGUUGUGCACAUGUGCUCUUUGUAGGGAAGGCAUUGAGAGGAAUUUAUGGGAAUAAUGAAGACUAUGCGUUAGCUUUGGGAAUGAUAUCCUUGUAUUCAUGGGAUUUUCCCAGGCAAUGGGAUCCAGGGAAGAACAAUAUUUUUAUGGGAGUUGCUGAAUAUGAACAUGAUUGGAGAAAUCCACUUUCAAUCUAUGGUUUGCUUAAUUUGGUAUAUGACAGAGGGAAGAUUUGGUUCAAAAGCAUUUGGGUGCUGCUUAUGUUGGUAUAUGACAGAGGAAAGUUUUGUAAAGCACAUGGGUGCAAUUGAUGUCCAACAAGAGUAUUGGAGGAAUCCAUUCUUACUCAUUUUUCAAGUGUUUUUAAGGGGGUGGUAUUGAUAGGAUCUAAUAUGUAUGCAUAAGCCCAAAUGUUCAAGGCCCACUUAGAGGGAGUUAGUUACAAUAGAUAAAGAAAGUGGAGAGGUUAUAUAAAGGAAUGAGAGGAUAGAGUUAGACAUCUUUGAUCACAAUUCAGUUAGGAACCUUAUGGUUUAGGCAGAGAGAGAAACAUCUCUUCUCUGAGGAGCUUCUGCUCUAGGGUUACAGGAUUAUCUUCUGUAAUACAUCUAUUUUCAAUUCAAUAAUACAAUUUAUUUCUUUUCUGUGAAUUCGAGUUUCUAUCA
RNAcentral lists this long non-coding RNA (2528 nucleotides) under Medicago truncatula (barrel medic). Its description in RNAcentral is "long non-coding RNA (MTRU_LNC001324)". The record is from RNAcentral. Lineage: Eukaryota; Viridiplantae; Streptophyta; Magnoliopsida; Fabales; Fabaceae.